UCAUUCUAUAUUUCUCACCCCCACAAGCCAAACCAUUCUUCUACAGAAAAAAAAAAAAAAAAAAACCUCCUCUCGUUCCUUUCUUUGUUUCCACCGGCGCCGUCCUCAUUUCUCUCCUUUGAACCCAUAAUUCUUGCACAUAUAGCACCAUCUCAGGCCGAAGUGUUUGUUUUUUCAGUCCUCUGUUCUGUAAUGGCAACGGCACCGGUCAAGUCACAGCCACUGCAUUAUUUCUCUUUACCCCAGUUGAAAUGGGGCCAAAAAAGCCACACUAACACCAAUCACCGCUUCCGCCGCCGCGAGUCUCCUUCAUCUACAGCCGAUAACCACCUCAACCCACCCCAAACCACCGACUUGAACGGUGGUUCUGACUCCGACAAGCUCCCAGUGGAAGAACAAAGACAAGACGAACAUGUAGAAGAAGAAGAAGAAGAAGGGCUAAAAGAGGAAAAAGUGUUGUGGAAUUUAAGGCCAAGAAAGAGUGUAAUGAAGGUGGGGUUAGAGGCUGAAACGGCGCCGUUAAAGAAGAACGUUGAAAUGGAAGUUGAAAGCAGUAAUCAUAUAAGGUCGCAGAGGGUGAGAGAUAAUAACGUGGAUAAUGGGCAUGGAUUCGGGUCGGGUAAGAAAGAGAAAAAGAAAAAGUUAUGGAUCUCGUUGUCAAGGGAAGAGAUAGAGGAAGAUGUGUAUUCUAUGACUGGGUCAAGACCCGCUAGGAGGCCCAAGAAACGAUCCAAGACAAUUCAAAAACAACUCGAUAAUGUUUUCCCUGGAAUGUAUUUAGUAGGUCUCACGGCUGAUUCGUUCAGAGUUAAUGAUACUACGAAGUAGAUAUGGCAUAGCUGGUGUAUCCAAACUUUUCCUUCUCUGGCAAAAGAUUUUGCAAGGAUUGAGGAACCAAGGGGGAAAGCUUAGAGCUUGAGCAUUGCUGCAUUCAUGCCUCAAUUUUGGAGUGGAGAUGCUGCUUGCUUUCCUAUAUUGGGGAGGAGAUCUCCAGUUUGUCUGGAGCUACACAUGACAAAGGGAAAGGAAACACAAUGUGAAGAUGAAUAGGUCUUGGGUGGGUGAUCCCUCUUGCCUUUCAAGGGCUGUUGUUUGCCUGCCUACAGAGAGGAACUUAGUCUAUGAAUCCAUCCACCGGAUCCUACUUCUUGUAGCACUUGGUAGGUUGCUCCAAUACUUGGCUUAUGUUAAGGUAGGAUUCCUUUUUACUACUACUGUUUUUGUUUUAAUCAGGACGACUCCUUUUUACUACUUAUGGUAUUUUUCCAUCUAUAGCUUGGGAGUGUUUUAUUGAUUUCUGGUGAACUAAGAGUUGUUAAGGAAUAAGUUCAUUUUUCCAACGAGUGAUGGAUGCCAGUUUUAGUUAGUGCACCUAUUUAUUUUCUUGUCGGUUGAUGUAUGGAAGGCUUACGUUUUAUGGCACGACGUCUAGAUUAUAGAUUGGAUUUUCUCGUAGAAAGAGGCAAUCCAGUGCAUUAAGCUUUGCUAUGUGCAUGGUUGGAAAAGAGGACGAGAACCACAUUGGGUCCACUUGUAUGCAAUUUUAUUUUGCAUUUUUUCAAGAAAGAUUGUUUCUCGGUUUGAA
This is an RNA transcript of Nicotiana attenuata, 1585 nucleotides long. RefSeq lists it as uncharacterized. The record is from RefSeq and is a predicted model, not a curated record. The transcript has 6 exons. NCBI's taxonomy places the organism in Eukaryota, Viridiplantae, Streptophyta, Magnoliopsida, Solanales, Solanaceae.